UCCCAGUGAAUAUUUGAUACAAGCAAGCCUC
Molecule: non-coding RNA, 31 nt
Filed under: Mus musculus (house mouse)
Lineage: Eukaryota; Metazoa; Chordata; Mammalia; Rodentia; Muridae
Source: RNAcentral